Molecule: long non-coding RNA, 1088 nt
Filed under: Salmo salar (Atlantic salmon)
Lineage: Eukaryota; Metazoa; Chordata; Actinopteri; Salmoniformes; Salmonidae
Description: lncRNA (ENSSSAG00000094603.1)
Source: RNAcentral
GUCGUUGUACUUAUAAUAUACAGGAGAACGAUCGCCUUACGGCAAGGAUAGCUGUGCUGCAAGCCCAGCUUCGACGCGAUCGUUAGGCAAGGGUAAUUUCAGUGUAGGAAAGGAUGAAACAGCGUCUGUGCCACCAGACCUGAGCCCUAGGACCAUGCCUCAGGACUACCUGGUAUGAUGACUCCUUGCUGUCCCCAGUCCACCUGGCCGUGCUGCUGCUCCAGUUUCAACUGUUCUGCCUGCGGCUAUGGAACCCUGACCUGUUCACCGGACGUGCUUGUUGCACCCUCGACAACUACUAUGAUUAUUAUUAUUUGACCAUGCUGGUCAUUUAUGAACAUUUUAACAUUUUAACAUUUUGACCAUGUUCUGUUAUAAUAUCCACCCUGCACAGCCAGAAGAGGACUGGCCACCCCUCAUAGCCUGGUUCCUCUCUAGGUUUCUUCCUAGGUUUUGGCAUUUCUAGGGAGUUUUUCCUAGCCACCCCUCAUAGCCUGGUUCCUCUCUAGGUUUCUUCCUAGGUUCUGGCCUUUCUAGGGAGUUUUUCCUAGCCACCGUGCUUCUACACCUGCAUUGCUUGCUGUUUGGGGUUUUAGGCUGGGUUUCUGUACAGCACUUUGAGAUAUCAGCUGAUGUAAGAAGGGCAAUAUAAAUACAUUUGAUUUGAUUUGAAUACUGAUUUUGGACAUGUGAGUGUCGCACUUGCUUCUUUCGGUCUCAAACAUAUCUUUCAUGGUUUGCAGAUAGAGGUCUUGAGUACGGAGCAAGUGAUUCAGUGAUGAGAUUUCCUCCACUUGCUUAGAAAUCAAUAUUUCCAUCUUCAUCACCUGAGUGCUCUCAUCAUUCAUUUGGUCAGCGAUUUCAAUUAGUUCUGCUGAUCUGUCAUCCAACUUAGUCAUUGUGUUCAUUAACCUGUUAUGGCUAGGGGGCAGUAUUUUCACGGCUGGAUAAAAAACGUACCCGAUUUAAUCUGGUUACUACUCCUGCCCAGUAACUAGAAUAUGCAUAUAAUUAUUGGCUUUGGAUAGAAAACACCCUAAUGUUUCUAAAACUGUUUGAAUGGUGUUUGUGAGUAUAACAGAACUCAU